AAAACGACUCUCGGCAACGGAUAUCUCGGCUCUCGCAUCGAUGAAGAACGUAGCGAAAUGCGAUACUUGGUGUAGAUUGCAGAAUCCCAUGUGAACCAUCGAGUCUUUGAACGCAAGUUGCGCCCCAAGCCUUCUGGCCGAGGGCACGUCUGCCUGGGUGUCACAA
RNAcentral lists this ribosomal RNA (166 nucleotides) under Arabidopsis thaliana (thale cress). RNAcentral's name for it is "5.8S ribosomal RNA". It matches the Rfam family "5.8S ribosomal RNA". From Rfam's summary of the family: 5.8S ribosomal RNA (5.8S rRNA) is a component of the large subunit of the eukaryotic ribosome. Lineage: Eukaryota; Viridiplantae; Streptophyta; Magnoliopsida; Brassicales; Brassicaceae. The record is from RNAcentral.